This 253-nucleotide ribosomal RNA is filed under the name uncultured bacterium. RNAcentral's name for it is "partial 16S ribosomal RNA". It matches the Rfam family "Bacterial small subunit ribosomal RNA", at positions 524 to 776 of the family's 1533-position model. The record is from RNAcentral.
UACGUAGGGCGCAAGCGUUGUUCGGAUUCAUUGGGCGUAAAGGGUGCGUAGGCGGCGCGGUAAGUCGGGUGUGAAAUCUCGGAGCUUAACUCCGAAACUGCAUUCGAUACUGCCGUGCUUGAGGACUGGAGAGGAGACUGGAAUUUACGGUGUAGCGGUGAAAUGCGUAGAUAUCGUAAGGAAGACCAGUGGCGAAGGCGGGUCUCUGGACAGUUACUGACGCUGAGGCACGAGGGCCAGGGGAGCAAACGGG